RNAcentral lists this microRNA precursor (76 nucleotides) under Myotis lucifugus (little brown bat). Its description in RNAcentral is "mir-9229 microRNA precursor family". It matches the Rfam family "mir-9229 microRNA precursor family". Lineage: Eukaryota; Metazoa; Chordata; Mammalia; Chiroptera; Vespertilionidae. The record is from Rfam by way of RNAcentral.
GAAACACCCUUAUGGGGCAGGACUUGCUUCAGUGGGGCUUUGGUGCUCACUGAGUCUUCCCCCUGAGUGUAUCUCU